Long non-coding RNA from Sapajus apella (tufted capuchin), 86 nucleotides. RefSeq lists it as uncharacterized. The transcript has 3 exons. NCBI's taxonomy places the organism in Eukaryota, Metazoa, Chordata, Mammalia, Primates, Cebidae. The record is from RefSeq and is a predicted model, not a curated record.
CAGAAAGGGAAAAAAAGAGAGUUUUAGAAAUUCCAUACAAUUUUGGGACAUAUAUUAACAUUAUUCAUUAAAAUAUAACCUGAAGA